AAGGUAUCUCAGUCAUACGCUAUGUUACAGUAGAGGAAAGUCCGGGCUUCAUAGAGCAAGAGGGUAGCUAACGGCUACUAAAGGUAACUUUAAGGAAAGUGCCACAGAAAAGAAACCGCCAUUGUUAUGGUAAGGGUGAAAAGGUGGUGUAAGAGACCACCAGUUUUUUAGGGAACUAAAAAAGCUAGGUAAACCCCCUCUGAAGCAAGACUAAAUAGGAAAGGUUAAGGGUUGCUCGUCCAACUUUCAGGGUAAGUCGCUGGAGAUAAAAAGUAAUUUUUAUCCUAGAUAAAUGAUGACAUAUACAAAACCCGGCUUAUGAGAUGCCUUUUUU
Molecule: non-coding RNA, 334 nt
Organism: Fusobacterium necrophorum subsp. funduliforme 1_1_36S
Lineage: Bacteria; Fusobacteriati; Fusobacteriota; Fusobacteriia; Fusobacteriales; Fusobacteriaceae
Source: Rfam